CCUACGGGAGGCAGCAGUGAGGAAUAUUGGUCAAUGGGCGCGACCCUGAACCAGCCAAGCCGCGUGAACGAUGACUGCCCUCCGGGUUUUAAACUCUUUUUAUAAGGGAGUAAAGUACGGCACGUGUGCCUGUUUGUAUGUACUUUAUGAUUCCAGAUCGGCUAACUCCGUGCCAGCAGCCGCGGUAAUACGGAGGAUCCGAGCGUUAUCCGGAUUUAUUGGGUUUAAAGGGAGCGUAGAUGGGUUGUUAAGUCAGUUGUGAAAGUUUGCGGCUCAACCGUAAAAUUGCAAUUGAUACUGGCAGGCUUGAGUACCGUUGAGGUAGGCGGAAUUCGUGGUGUAGCGGUGAAAUGCUUAGAUAUUACGAAGAACUCCGAUUGCGAAGGUAGCCUACUAAACGGCCACUGACAUUGAUGCUCGAAAGUGUGGGGAGCAAACAGGAUUAGAUACCCUGGUAGUC
Molecule: ribosomal RNA, 460 nt
Filed under: uncultured bacterium
Lineage: Bacteria
Description: partial 16S ribosomal RNA
Rfam family: Bacterial small subunit ribosomal RNA
Source: RNAcentral